RNAcentral lists this ribosomal RNA (495 nucleotides) under uncultured bacterium. RNAcentral describes it as "bacterial SSU rRNA". It matches the Rfam family "Bacterial small subunit ribosomal RNA", at positions 903 to 1397 of the family's 1533-position model. The record is from RNAcentral.
AAAUGAAUAGACGGGGGCCCGCACAAGCGGAGGAACAUGUGGUUUAAUUCGAUGAUACGCGAGGAACCUUACCUGGGCUCGAACGCCCACCGACGGCACCGGAGACGGUGCUCUCCAGCGAUGGCGGUGGGCGAGGUGCUGCAUGGUUGUCGUCAGCUCGUGCCGUGAGGUGUCGGGUUAAGUCCCAUAACGAGCGCAACCCUUACUGCCAGUUGCCAUCGGGUGAAGCCGGGGACUCUGGCGGGACUGCCGGCGUAAGCCGUGAGGAGGGUGGGGAUGACGUCAAAUCAGCACGGCCCUUACGUCCAGGGCUACACACGUGUUACAAUGGCCGGUACAGAGGGCAGCCACCCCGCGAGGGGGCGCCAAUCCCGAAAUCCGGUCCCAGUUCGGAUUGGGGUCUGCAACCCGACCCCAUGAAGUUGGAUUCGCUAGUAAUCGCGCAUCAGCCACGGCGCGGUGAAUACGUUCCCGGGCCUUGUACACACCGCCCGU